Molecule: ribosomal RNA, 1413 nt
Filed under: bacterium NLAE-zl-P370
Lineage: Bacteria
Description: 16S ribosomal RNA
Rfam family: Bacterial small subunit ribosomal RNA
Source: RNAcentral
CAUGCNAGUCGAGGGGCAGCAUUUCAGUUUGCUUGCAAACUGGAGAUGGCGACCGGCGCACGGGUGAGUAACACGCUAUCCAACCUGCCGAUAACUCGGGGAUAGCCUUUCGAAAGAAAGAUUAAUACCCGAUGGNAUAAUCAGACCGCAUGGUCUUAUUAUUAAAGAAUUUCGGUUAUCGAUGGGGAUGCGUUCCAUUAGGCAGUUGGUGAGGUAACGGCUCACCAAACCUUCGAUGGAUAGGGGUUCUGAGAGGAAGGUCCCCCACAUUGGAACUGAGACACGGUCCAAACUCCUACGGGAGGCAGCAGUGAGGAAUAUUGGUCAAUGGGCGCAGGCCUGAACCAGCCAAGUAGCGUGAAGGAUGACUGCCCUAUGGGUUGUAAACUUCUUUUAUAUGGGAAUAAAGUUUUCCACGUGUGGAAUUUUGUAUGUACCAUAUGAAUAAGGAUCGGCUAACUCCGUGCCAGCAGCCGCGGUAAUACGGAGGAUCCGAGCGUUAUCCGGAUUUAUUGGGUUUAAAGGGAGCGUAGGUGGACAGUUAAGUCAGUUGUGAAAGUUUGCGGCUCAACCGUAAAAUUGCAGUUGAUACUGGCUGUCUUGAGUACAGUAGAGGUGGGCGGAAUUCGUGGUGUAGCGGNUGAAAAUGCUUAGAAUAUCACGAAGAACUCCGAUUGCGAAGGCAGCUCACUGGACUGCAACUGACACUGAUGCUCGAAAGUGUGGGUAUCAAACAGGAUUAGAUACCCUGGUAGUCCACACAGUAAAACGAUGAAUACUCGCUGUUUGCGAUAUACAGUAAGGCGGCCAAGCCGAAAGCANUUAAGUAUUCCACCUGGGGAGUACCCCGGCAACGGUGAAACUCAAAGGAAUUGACCGGGGCCCGCACAAGCGGAGGAACAUGUGGUUUAAUUCGAUGAUACGCGAGGAACCUUACCCGGGCUUAAAUUGCAUUUGAAUAAUNUGGAAACAGNNUAGCCGCAAGGCAAAUGUGAAGGUGCUGCAUGGUUGUCGUCAGCUCGUGCCGUGAGGUGUCGGCUUAAGUGCCAUAACGAGCGCAACCCUUAUCUUUAGUUACUAACAGGUCAUGCUGAGGACUCUAGAGAGACUGCCGUCGUAAGAUGUGAGGAAGGUGGGGAUGACGUCAAAUCAGCACGGCCCUUACGUCCGGGGCUACACACGUGUUACAAUGGGGGGUACAGAAGGCAGCUACCUGGUGACAGGAUGCUAAUCCCAAAAGCCUCUCUCAGUUCGGAUCGAAGUCUGCAACCCGACUUCGUGAAGCUGGAUUCGCUAGUAAUCGCGCAUCAGCCAUGGCGCGGUGAAUACGUUCCCGGGCCUUGUANACANCGCCCGUCAAGCCAUGAAAGCUCGGGGGUACCUGAAGUACGUAACCGCAAGGAGCUCCUAGGG